RNAcentral lists this ribosomal RNA (1124 nucleotides) under uncultured organism. Its description in RNAcentral is "bacterial SSU rRNA". It matches the Rfam family "Bacterial small subunit ribosomal RNA", at positions 157 to 1314 of the family's 1533-position model. The record is from RNAcentral.
CGCGGAUUAAUACCCGACGGUCCCUUCGGGGCAAAGAGCAAUCGCCCGGGGACGGGCUCGCGUUCCAUCAGCUAGUCGGCGGGGUAACGGCCCGCCGAGGCGACGACGGGUAGGUGGUCUGAGAGGAUGGUCACCCACACUGGGACUGAGACACUGCCCAGACUCCUACGGGAGGCUGCAGUCGAGAAUCAUCCGCAAUGGGCGAAAGCCUGACGGUGCAAUGCCGCGUGGGGGAUGAAGGCCCUCGGGUCGUAAACCCCUGUCAGAGGGGACGAAAAACAUGACGGUACCCUCAGAGGAAGCCACGGCUAACUACGUGCCAGCAGCCGCGGUAACACGUAGGUGGCGAGCGUUAUUCGGAUUUACUGGGCGUAAAGGGUCCGCAGGGGGUUUGCCAAGUCCGGUGUGAAAGUCCGGGGCUCAACCCCGGAACUGCGCCGGAUACUGGUGAACUUGAGUGCGCGAGGGGCAGGCGGAAUUCCUGGUGUAGCGGUGGAAUGCGUGGAUAUCAGGAAGAACACCGACGGCGAAAGCGGCCUGCUGGCGCGCGACUGACCCUGAUGGACGAAAGCGUGGGUAGCGAACAGGAUUAGAUACCCUGGUAGUCCACGCCGUAGACGGUGCAGACCCGAUGCGGGGGGGUUUCCCUCCGUGUCCAAGCCAACGCGUUAAGUCUUGCCGACUGGGGACUACGGUCGCAAGGCUAAAACUCAAAGGAAUUGACGGGGGCCCGCACAAGCGGUGGAGCAUGUGGCUCAAUUCGAGCCUACGCGAAGAACCUUACCCGGGCUUGACAUAUAUCCGCCCGUCCGUGCAAGCGGACCUUCCAUUCGGGGACGGAAAAACAGGCGCUGCAUGGCCGUCGUCAGCUCGUCCCGUGAGGUGCUCGGAUAAGUCCGGCAACGAGCGCAACCCGUAUCGUCAGUUGCCAUCAGCUCAUGCUGGGCACUCCGGCGAGACCGCCCGCCCCAAGCGGGAGGAAGGCGCGGACGACGUCAAGUCCGUAUGGCCCUUACGCCCGGGGCAGCACACGUGCUACAAUGGACGGCACAGCGGGAAGCGAAGCCGCGAGGCGGAGCGAAUCCCGAAAACCGUCCACAGUUCGGAUCGGAGUCUGCAAUUCG